GUGAGGGGAAUAUAACAGACGUUGCUGGUUAUUCUGUCUCUGCGGGUGCCUUAUUUAGUAAUGGAUUCUACAUACUGUUUAAGGAUUCUUUUUGCCUUGUUUCCUGCUUAUGUACCCUGUUUGGGGAAUUAUGAAGGGAGCAUGCCAACCGCUAUUUUGCGGGAAGUUUCAGCACACACUUUCUCCGUGGUUGGCCCUGAGGUGAAAC
Long non-coding RNA from Sinocyclocheilus anshuiensis, 208 nucleotides. RefSeq lists it as uncharacterized. NCBI's taxonomy places the organism in Eukaryota, Metazoa, Chordata, Actinopteri, Cypriniformes, Cyprinidae. The record is from RefSeq and is a predicted model, not a curated record. The transcript has 3 exons.